Molecule: small nucleolar RNA, 106 nt
Organism: Malania oleifera
Lineage: Eukaryota; Viridiplantae; Streptophyta; Magnoliopsida; Santalales; Ximeniaceae
Source: RefSeq, a predicted model, not a curated record
ACCUGGUGAUGUGGGCAUUUACAGAGCAUGUCCCUGAAGCGCUUUCAAGUCUCAAAAAAGAGUUCCCCAUCCAUUUGUGAGAAACUUGUGAUGGCUCUUCGAAGCU